CUCUCUCUCAUGUCCCUUAUUUAGCAUAACAAAGUAGAUGGGAAAAUACUCUUGACUCUGGGCUACCCAAUAGCUCUGGGAUUAAACCCAGCAUUUCCCACUACUACCAGCUAACCCUUGGGUUUGUCUAUUGUUUGACCCCAUUCUGUAGCCAAUCAGAGCCUCUCUGUGGGAUGAAAACUGAUAUAGCAGAUCAUAUACACGUAGCCCAAAGUAAGACCCAGAGACUACAGAAACUACACCAAAAAUGUCACAUAGUCCUGACACUUAAUGGGAAAUGAUGCCAAGUAUGGGCACUGUGCCAGAAAAGGGAAUUUCAAAGUGCACAGAUGCUUGAGUGCUCUGGUCCACUAGCUGGAGACUUGGGAGAGAAGUCUGCAGCCAUAGGGCAUGAAUUUGCAGUAUUUUACUGUAGGUUUUCUCUUCUCCUUUGAAGUUUCUAUUUUACAAUAUUUUGAGAGUUUUAAAAAUAAUCCUAUCACAUCUGGCCCAGACCCAGAUAAUGUAUUCUAUCAUUUCCAUUGAGCUGUAAGAGACUUUGCCCUUACUAUUUUAAUAUCCUGGAUUUAAUUAAAACUCCCGUUGGUUCGUCACAAAUGAAAACUUGUUUUUGAUAGUUUUAUAAAACUGAUACUGAUGUCAUUAAAAAAAUUUGUUUUUACACCAGCAACUUUUUGUUUUUACAUUCUUGGUGUAAUGUAUCCCUCCAUCUUGUCUUUUUGUUUAGAGCAGGUCCAUUUGAACCAAGCAGACAGACCUAUUAAUGGGCAGCAAUGACCUUACCUUUAAGGAAUCCAGAGGCUUGAGGGGGCACUCACACUGAGGAAGUGUGAUGUACUGUAGUGUCUUUUUCUAGAGAUGAGUAGUGGAAGUCUUGCUGGGUUGGCAUUUAAAGCAGAAAAUGAAAUGCCUGCAUUGCUAGUGAUGCAGCCCAGAGCAAGGGUUUCACUUCUGCAAAGCAGUGACCUCGCAAGAGACAUUGUGUCUGUCGAGCUAUGCUGGACCUCCCUGGCUCAUUCUGAUAGAGGAUAUACAAACAAACACAAGGAAAUUGAGCUUACAAAGAGCCAUUCUUCUGAGUCGCUGUCUGUCUGUCUGUCUGUCUGUCUGUCUGUCUACCUACCUUCCUGUCUCCCCGCCUCACCGGUUUCCUACCCCUGUCCAACAAGACCAAAUUUUUUAAAGAAAUAACUUUUGAAAACUGAAAUUUUUAUGUAUUUUUGUUAUCUCAUCAAUGUUCACCGCAUCACUUUCUGAGGAGAAGAUGUUUUUAGUAGUUUCAGUUGCUCAGUGCUUUUAUCUAAAUGCAGUGUUUUCAGACUGUGUAUUAACCACAGCCACAUGUUUGAUUGCGCCUCCCUAGUCACUGGUGUCUGCCUAUCUUUGGUAAAUUCAUUACCAUCUCCAAAUUGCCUAAAGUCCUAGUAAAUAAUAGCUCAGGGGAUUUCUAUUCAUCACUACUAGAAGGGCGCUGUGGUAUGCUUUGGUACUUUGGGCAGUGAGCAGCUGCGGGACUUGUCAUUGCUCUAGAACAAGAACACCGGAUGGAUCUGCCACACUAGUCGUGUUUCACACUGUGGAGCAGUUUGGCUUGUGCAUCCGUGGCGCUUGUUGAGGAACUCAUCCCUUUGUGGUGUCGUAACAUGACGGUAGAGUGCCUUUUUAUAUUUGUAUAUCCUGGAAACGUUCUGUGAAACAUUUUGUAUUUUUUCAUUUGAGUGUUAUCGGAGCAAUAUAAUCCUAGUGGGCUUUUCUUUCUUUGACUGUACCAAGUGUCGCCUUUCCUCUUCCUCCCCUUCUCUGCUGUGAAAUGAAAAUGCUCAAGUUUUCUAUAGGAAUUAUGUUUGACUUUGCAGUACUGAAAUGCUUUCUUCUUACCGAACUGUAAACCAUAGGUCAGUAUUAUAGGAGGACAGCGUUUUAAGAUAGUGACAAUCUGAGCGUGUUUGUAAGAUGUAAUUCUGUGUGUUUCCUACCCGGUGAUCUGAAGACUCGAGGCGAGGAUCUUUUGUUUAGCAGUUUUGUCUCCAGACCACGCUUCAGCAUGUGCAAUAUAUCCUUGCAAAGCACGGUGAUACACAUCUUAUGCCAGUGUUACAUUUUGUAAAACGUGUUUGUAACAGCAUAAACUAUUAUGUGAUGAUUUCAGUGGGAUUUUUUCGUCUGUAAUUUUAAGAUGUAGAUUGGAGUUGAGUGACUUUGGUAAACGUCCUGAGUGUAAAAAAUGAGGAAAAAUGGCAUUGGGUUCAGUGAAGGACUUUGGACCAGUGUGAAUCUUCCCAAGCACAGGUUAAUACUUUCCCAACUACUGAGUGCUCUAAUAUGCAAUGAAGUACUUACCUGUAACAUACGAUGGACAUGCAUUCAGAUGGUUAUUUUUACAAAUAAAAACGGUACAAAUAUUGUUGCAA
RNAcentral lists this long non-coding RNA (2411 nucleotides) under Rattus norvegicus (Norway rat). Its description in RNAcentral is "long non-coding RNA NONRATT030019". The record is from RNAcentral. Lineage: Eukaryota; Metazoa; Chordata; Mammalia; Rodentia; Muridae.